GAGUCAAACUCUUUGAACUAUGGACCCUUUGAAAAGUUGUUUGAAUUGCUGCACCUUAACAGAACACAAACAGCUUUCCUGCUAACACUCAUGACUGCAAUGGCACCAGAUGAGAGGGAAGGUGACUCGGAACAUAACAAUAUAAUACUUCUUUAAGCAUUCCUCCCAAGAGUAUUUUCUAAAGCCAUGAACUCAGCUCAGCAAUUACUACGGUCUCAGAGAGACUUGCUGCUGAACUGGACCCGUGAGCACCCAGCACCGUUGCUGCGUUGGCUGCGUGAUACUGAGGUGCUUUCAUCUGCCCAAUACCUGUCUCUGCUGGAGAGGUCCCCUUCCAAUGCCGUGGCCCAGGCUCUAGAGACCGUGUGUGCCACUGAGGAGAGAAGCCAAAAAUUCCUGCAGGUGCUGAGAGACGUGCAGGAUUAUUACUGCAAGGAUUUGCAGGUCUGGGUGGAGACACACUGCAAGAACGAUGCUGUCAGUACGCCAGUGCCUACACCUGUGAAAGGUGAUAUUGCUUUAAUAAACUGUUGAUGACUGUG
Long non-coding RNA from Micropterus salmoides (largemouth bass), 542 nucleotides. RefSeq lists it as uncharacterized. The record is from RefSeq and is a predicted model, not a curated record. The transcript has 2 exons. Lineage: Eukaryota; Metazoa; Chordata; Actinopteri; Centrarchiformes; Centrarchidae.